Molecule: long non-coding RNA, 640 nt
Filed under: Rattus norvegicus (Norway rat)
Lineage: Eukaryota; Metazoa; Chordata; Mammalia; Rodentia; Muridae
Description: long non-coding RNA NONRATT012317
Source: RNAcentral
AUAGACUCCCCAUGCUCCCUUGAAGACACACCGCCUUACUGCACGCCGCACUGCGCAGAGGCCGAGGAACUAGGCUCAGCUUGCAAAGCUCAGGGCCUCCUGCGAACACCUGCCGCAAACACCCGGCCUUGGCCUAGCUGCAGCCGCUAUUCUAGAUCUCACCCCGGGCUCCUCGCGAGGCUGCAAGCCAGGACUUCCCACGAUCGCACGUCAAUCCGUGCGACUCUGGUUCCAGUUAAGAUGCCUUUUGAGGACGUGUUUGGCUGUGGGCAAGGAGAGAGAGGAAACGUCCGGGAUGGUUUGGAUUGAGGGGAAGUCAAAUGCGGGACCUGAAGGUUCGUCUUGGUCUGCAUUCAGCCUGGCGCGCUCUGGUCUCCUACCCUCCUCUAGCCCAGUGUCUGGAUCCAGGCGGUCACCGACCUGGUUCCUCGAGUGCCGUAGCACUGCCGCAUUGUAAUAAGCCUCCUGCCAGUGUGUUGCCAGGUCGAAUUACGAGACGUUAUUGGAAAGCCCUUUGCGCACUCCAAACCUGCAGCACGGUUGUUAGUUCGCUGAGCUCUUUGAGAGAUUUCUCUGGCACCUUUUUUCUUUCAAAGUAAGAUUGAUAUGUGCCUGCUCAUAUUAAAAUGCUUGUCUCAGA